Long non-coding RNA from Teleopsis dalmanni, 342 nucleotides. RefSeq lists it as uncharacterized. Lineage: Eukaryota; Metazoa; Arthropoda; Insecta; Diptera; Diopsidae. The transcript is spliced from 4 exons. The record is from RefSeq and is a predicted model, not a curated record.
GACGACGACAAUGAUAAAAUCUAUAUUUUCAAUUAAUUCAUUAAUAUCAUUAAUAUCAUUGUGUGAGUUCCGUAAAAGCUAUAAAACGACGUACUCAAUAUCAAAAAUAAAUAAAACUAUGGAUAAAUAACAUCUGUAAACUGUCCUGUUACACCAUAUCGAGAAGUUAUCCAAUGAGAAAGCCGCUUAAAUUUUGGAGGAUUUACGAUGGACGACAGAGAUAAAUAACGCUUUGUUAGUGAGAGACUUUAAAGGCGCAAGUAAGGAGAAAGGAGAGCAAAAUCCAAUCCAAAAUUUAAUAACAAAACAAUUUAAAAAUUGAUCAUUUGAACCAAAAUAAAA